This 1167-nucleotide ribosomal RNA is filed under the name Lactiplantibacillus plantarum. RNAcentral describes it as "bacterial SSU rRNA". Lineage: Bacteria; Bacillati; Bacillota; Bacilli; Lactobacillales; Lactobacillaceae. The record is from RNAcentral.
AGGUGCUUGCAUCAUGAUUUACAUUUGAGUGAGUGGCGAACUGGUGAGUAACACGUGGGAAACCUGCCCAGAAGCGGGGGAUAACACCUGGAAACAGAUGCUAAUACCGCAUAACAACUUGGACCGCAUGGUCCGAGUUUGAAAGAUGGCUUCGGCUAUCACUUUUGGAUGGUCCCGCGGCGUAUUAGCUAGAUGGUGGGUAACGGCUCACCAUGGCAAUGAUACGUAGCCGACCUGAGAGGGUAAUCGGCCACAUUGGGACUGAGACACGGCCCAAACUCCUACGGGAGGCAGCAGUAGGGAAUCUUCCACAAUGGACGAAAGUCUGAUGGAGCAACGCCGCGUGAGUGAAGAAGGGUUUCGGCUCGUAAAACUCUGUUGUUAAAGAAGAACAUAUCUGAGAGUAACUGUUCAGGUAUUGACGGUAUUUAACCAGAAAGCCACGGCUAACUACGUGCCAGCAGCCGCGGUAAUACGUAGGUGGCAAGCGUUGUCCGGAUUUAUUGGGCGUAAAGCGAGCGCAGGCGGUUUUUUAAGUCUGAUGUGAAAGCCUUCGGCUCAACCGAAGAAGUGCAUCGGAAACUGGGAAACUUGAGUGCAGAAGAGGACAGUGGAACUCCAUGUGUAGCGGUGAAAUGCGUAGAUAUAUGGAAGAACACCAGUGGCGAAGGCGGCUGUCUGGUCUGUAACUGACGCUGAGGCUCGAAAGUAUGGGUAGCAAACAGGAUUAGAUACCCUGGUAGUCCAUACCGUAAACGAUGAAUGCUAAGUGUUGGAGGGUUUCCGCCCUUCAGUGCUGCAGCUAACGCAUUAAGCAUUCCGCCUGGGGAGUACGGCCGCAAGGCUGAAACUCAAAGGAAUUGACGGGGGCCCGCACAAGCGGUGGAGCAUGUGGUUUAAUUCGAAGCUACGCGAAGAACCUUACCAGGUCUUGACAUACUAUGCAAAUCUAAGAGAUUAGACGUUCCCUUCGGGGACAUGGAUACAGGUGGUGCAUGGUUGUCGUCAGCUCGUGUCGUGAGAUGUUGGGUUAAGUCCCGCAACGAGCGCAACCCUUAUUAUCAGUUGCCAGCAUUAAGUUGGGCACUCUGGUGARACUGCCGGUGACAAACCGGAGGAAGGUGGGGAUGACGUCAAAUCAUCAUGCCCCUUAUGACCUGGGCUACC